This 709-nucleotide long non-coding RNA is filed under the name Gossypium raimondii (Peruvian cotton). Its description in RNAcentral is "long non-coding RNA (GRAI_LNC000422)". The record is from RNAcentral. Lineage: Eukaryota; Viridiplantae; Streptophyta; Magnoliopsida; Malvales; Malvaceae.
AAGACGCAAAUUUCAGGCCGUGGAUGAUCAUUGAAAGGAAAUCAAGGUGGAAUUUUAGAGAGAAUGUGCAGAAUUCAUUAGGUAACCAAGAGAGUGAAAAUGAAUGAUCUCGUUUUAGGGUCCUAAAUAAUAGGGAUUUGCACAAAGAUGAUUAUGAGGGAGAUUUGUCUGAUUCUCAGCGUGCUAAAGGGAAAGAAAUCAUAAAUGGAAAUCUUCUCAGGAAAGAAUCUGUUUCUCAUCAUAACGGUCAAAUAGAUCUAAGUAAAAAAAAAAAAUAGUAAUAAAGGUAAGUUAAAAGAGGUAGGCUCUAUUAUUGAUCUUGGCCCGAUUAUUAAAGCGGCAGUUGGGCCAAAUGUGGGUCCAGAUUGACUCUCAACGGCAUAAAUGAAAACUCACCGGUUACUAAGGAGCCGUUCAACUGCUUGGGCCUUGGGGAUAAUUCUGAUAGUCAGGCCUGGGGUUUGCUGGAUCAGCUUGGUCCGGUUUCAGUGGCCCAGCAUAACCCUGUUGCUGUUGGUAGUUGCAGUCGACCCCUUGCAGCGGCCACAUUGUAAAGCGACACUAGCGCGAAGAUGGGUCUUCUCGAAGAUUGAUGGGUGUGACAGAAAUGAAGUGGUUGUGGAAGUGGAAAGUCUUGAAAACCCUUUUAACAAAAACGGUGCUCCUUCUUCGAAAAACACCUUGGGUCUGUCUCCGAUGGGUUUCUCCG